GGAUGGCUAGCUGGAGGUCUGCGUUGUAGAGAGGGAACUCCAGGCCCACUCUUUUCUUCUCCCCGGAGUGCAGUCAAGUUGACCAAGAAGCGGGCACUGUCCAUCUCACCUCUGUCGGAUGCCAGCCUGGACCUGCAGACGGUUAUCCGCACCUCACCCAGCUCCCUCGUAGCUUUCAUCAACUCACGAUGCACAUCUCCAGGAGGCUCCUACGGUCAUCUCUCCAUUGGCACCAUGAGGUACAGUCACCCCGGGCCAAGAGGCCCCUAAAGCCCCUACCCAAGUCCAUUAAAAGUCUCAAGCCCUCAAACUG
RNAcentral lists this small RNA (313 nucleotides) under Pongo abelii (Sumatran orangutan). RNAcentral's name for it is "retained intron". Lineage: Eukaryota; Metazoa; Chordata; Mammalia; Primates; Hominidae. The record is from RNAcentral.